RNAcentral lists this unclassified non-coding RNA (1837 nucleotides) under Actinia tenebrosa (Australian red waratah sea anemone). RNAcentral's name for it is "gamma-sarcoglycan-like, transcript variant X2". The record is from RNAcentral. Lineage: Eukaryota; Metazoa; Cnidaria; Anthozoa; Actiniaria; Actiniidae.
UGUGCCCAAAUAUAGCACAUUGUUUACACUCGAAUGGUUGUUGAUACAUUUAUAAUCAGUCAGUUGUUCCAGAACUUUAUCGAAAUCAUUUGGUCAGUAUAAACAUACCAGAUCGUCUUCAAUCAGCCCUUGAAAGAGUGAGAUACAGCUGUUGUAAUGGCGAGGGACAGAGUAGAGACGUCAGAGUUAGAUUGGUCUAAUCUACAGGACCCAAACAAGAUUGUCUAUACUAUAGGAAUCUACGGAUGGAGAAAGAGAUGUCUGUACUUUUUGAUUCUUCUCAUUAUGAUCUUGGCUAUCAUUAAUUUAUCAUUAACGAUAUGGAUCCUGGUUGUUAUGGAUUUCAACUCUGAUGGUAUGGGUAAGAUGAGGAUCACUGAUACUGGAGUAAAACUUUAUGGUCACGCUGAAUUUGUUGAGUCUCUACAUGCAAAUGAAAUCAGAGCUAGUUAUAACAAGCCACUCCUAGUCCAGUCCACAAACCACCUUGUGGUAAAUGCUAGAGAUGGUAAUGGGAACAUCACGGGACAGCUCUAUUUAGGAGGAGAUCAAGUUGUUGCUAAAAACAAAUACCUACGCAUCAAAACUGAUAAAGACAAAGAGAUCCUGUAUGCAGACAAAGAUAAAAUUGUGUUCAGAUCAGACAAGCUUGAGUUUUCAAGUCCGUAUGGAGCACAUUUUACUGGUUCAGUAGAGACCCCUACAGUGAGGUCACCUCCUAAGCAGCACCUGACAUUAGAGUCUCUGACCCAGUCACUCCAUAUGAAUGCUCCUGAGGAAAUAAGCAUGAAGGCUGUUGCUGGUGGAAUGACUUUGGAAAGCUUGACUGACAUCACCAUGACAACUAAAGGAAAGAUAACACUUGAUGCAGAAUCAGUGACUUUUAAAAACCUCAAACCAUCAGGGAGUGUUAAAAAUAAUGCUUGUGAAUUAUGUGUUCAACCUGAUGGAUCACUCUUUCUUGGCAGUUCUGGAUGUAGCAAUCUAUGUCCAUAAUCAUAUAAACAUUUGACAGUAUCAACAACAUAUCUGUAUCCAGAAUUAUUCAUCAUUCUACUGCAUAUGUAAAUAACAUAAAAAGGCAAUGAAUGGCAAUAAUGUAUUAGUUGGUUGAUGACAACAAUCAUAUAUUAUCCUUGAUGUAAAAAUGUCAUUUUAUAGGCAAUUUUUACUUGUCAGGACUAGUGGACUAACUCAAGCAAUGUAUGUAUAUAUGCAAAGUAUGUAAAAAAUACAGUUUUUUUAGAAUAAUGUAGUUAGGUAGGGUUUUAUAGUUUUAUACUUUUAUAACAUUUUUAUUGAAAAAAUAGGUAUAAAAUCAUUAUUUUAAACAGAAAAUGGUAUAAAAAUAUUUAACAGGCCUGAUACCCAAGCAAAUUUAAUGCUGCAAAUAAUAUAAAUUGUUUCAAGGAAAGGUCAUUAGCGUAGAUAUUUGAUGCUUAUUUGUGUGUUUAUAAAUUUGUAAACUGGAACAAUCACUUGCAUUAAAUUUAAAGUAGUCUGUUUGAAAUUUGUUGUGUACCUUCAUCUUUUUUAAAGGUUUCAAAGAAAUAUUAGUAGAUAUAAUAGUAGAUAUAAAGAACUGUGUUUAUAUGAUGUGGGAGUGAUAAGAAAGCCAGAGCUGGAGGUGCUAUUUUAUAAUGAUAGUAGAUAAAGAGUGGUAAGAAAGCCAGAGCUGGAGGUGCUAUUUUAAAAUGAUAGUAGAUAAAGAGUGGCAAGAAAGCCAGAGCUGGAGGUGCUAUUUUAAAAUGAUAGUAGAUAAAAAGUGGCAAGAAAGCCAGAGCUGGAGGUGCUAGUUCAUUUAUUCGGCACUAUUAAAAUAUCUAGACACAUUUUA